UACGGAAGGCAGCAGUGGGGAAUAUUGCACAAUGGGCGCAAGCCUGAUGCAGCCAUGCCGCGUGUAUGAAGAAGGCCUUCGGGUUGUAAAGUACUUUCAGUCGUGAGGAAGGUGUUAAGGUUAAUAACCUUAGCAAUUGACGUUAGCGACAGAAGAAGCACCGGCUAACUCCGUGCCAGCAGCCGCGGUAAUACGGAGGGUGCGAGCGUUAAUCGGAAUUACUGGGCGUAAAGGGCACGCAGGCGGUUAAUUAAGUUGGAUGUGAAAUCCCCGGGCUUAACCUGGGAAUGGCAUUCAAGACUGGUUAGCUAGAGUCUUGUAGAGGGGGUAGAAUUCCAUGUGUAGCGGUGAAAUGCGUAGAGAUGUGGAGGAAUACCGGUGGCGAAGGCGGCCCCUGGGACAAGACUGACGCUCAUGUGCGAAAGCGUGGGGAGCAAACG
This 440-nucleotide ribosomal RNA is filed under the name uncultured bacterium. Its description in RNAcentral is "bacterial SSU rRNA". It matches the Rfam family "Bacterial small subunit ribosomal RNA", at positions 340 to 774 of the family's 1533-position model. The record is from RNAcentral.